GGUUGCGAUCAUACCAGCACUAAUGCACCGGAUCCUAUCAGAACUCCGCAGUUAAGCGUGCUUGGGCGAGAUUAGUACUAGGAUGGGUGACCCCCUGGGAAGUCCUCGUGUUGCAACCC
This 119-nucleotide ribosomal RNA is filed under the name Helianthus annuus (common sunflower). The record is from RNAcentral. Lineage: Eukaryota; Viridiplantae; Streptophyta; Magnoliopsida; Asterales; Asteraceae.